GGGAGGGGUUUUCGGACCCCGGGGACUCCGGUCCCCCCUCUUCACCCUAUGCUUACCUACCUUUGUUGCCUUGACGGGCCCGAGGAAUACCCUUCUUGCACCCGUCAGAGGCCCCUCCCACUUCGUCUAUCAGCGUCGUCCGAGUAGCACUAUAAUCGCAAAAACUUUCAACAACGGAUCUCUUGGUUCU
Molecule: unclassified non-coding RNA, 190 nt
Filed under: rhizosphere metagenome
Description: partial ribosomal RNA internal transcribed spacer region
Source: RNAcentral